UUCAUUUUGACUUGAUCUUCAUCACGUCAACAUGAACUUUGAUUUUACUGUAUAACUUGUAUUUACUGUAAUAACAACAAUAUAUAACAAUUAGAGGUUGUAGAUAUUAUGAUCAAUUACUU
RNAcentral lists this small RNA (122 nucleotides) under Arabidopsis thaliana (thale cress). Its description in RNAcentral is "ATSL229420". Lineage: Eukaryota; Viridiplantae; Streptophyta; Magnoliopsida; Brassicales; Brassicaceae. The record is from RNAcentral.